AUACGUAAGGGGCGAGCGUUGUCCGGAUUCACUGGGCGUAAAGGGCGCGUAGGCGGCGAUACAAGUCAGAGGUGAAAGCUAUGGGCUCAACCCAUAAACGGCCUUUGAAACUGUAUUGCUUGAGUAUUGCAGAGGAAAGUGGAAUUCAUGGUGUAGCGGUGAAAUGCGUAGAUAUCAUGGAGAACACCUAUGGCGAAGGCAGCUUUCUGGGCAAAUACUGACGCUGAGGCGCGAAAGCUAGGGUAGCGAACAGGAUUAGAAACCCCUGUAGUCC
Molecule: ribosomal RNA, 274 nt
Filed under: uncultured bacterium
Lineage: Bacteria
Description: partial 16S ribosomal RNA
Rfam family: Bacterial small subunit ribosomal RNA
Source: RNAcentral